GCCCAGGUGGCGGAAUUGGUAGACGCAACAGACUUAAAAUCUGUUGGCCUUCGGGCCGUACCGGUUCGAUUCCGGUCCUGGGCACCA
Molecule: transfer RNA, 87 nt
Filed under: Pseudomonadota bacterium
Lineage: Bacteria; Pseudomonadati; Pseudomonadota
Description: tRNA-Leu
Rfam family: tRNA
About the family: Transfer RNA (tRNA) molecules are approximately 80 nucleotides in length. Their secondary structure includes four short double-helical elements and three loops (D, anti-codon, and T loops).
Source: RNAcentral